RNAcentral lists this ribosomal RNA (305 nucleotides) under uncultured bacterium. RNAcentral describes it as "bacterial SSU rRNA". It matches the Rfam family "Bacterial small subunit ribosomal RNA", at positions 333 to 634 of the family's 1533-position model. The record is from RNAcentral.
GAUAUCCUACGGGAGGCAGCAGUGAGGAAUAUUGGUCAAUGGGCGCAAGCCUGAACCAGCCAAGUCGCGUGAGGGAAGACGGCCCUACGGGUUGUAAACCUCUUUUGCCGGGGAGCAAGCCUGAGCACGUGUGCCCAGGCGGAGAGUACCCGGAGAAAAAGCAUCGGCUAAUUCCGUGCCAGCAGCCGCGGUAAUACGGAAGGUCCGGGCGUUAUCCGGAUUUAUUGGGUUUAAAGGGAGCGUAGGCCGGUCUUUAAGCGUGCCGUGAAAUUUUGUGGCUCAACCAUGAGAGUGCGGCGCGAACU